GAGUAUUGAAGUGGGUACCUUGCCUCAAGCAACAUAUGGACGUGAUCAAGAAAAUAACUUCACGUAUGUUUCCAAGCUUCAGGUCGACAGUCAACAUUGGAAUCACAUAGGGGUACAGAUACCAACACAGACCAAACCUUUCAGGAUCGCAUUUAAGGUACAGUUAAAAAACAGUUCGAGUUACUGGAGCUACAUUAAAUUAGGAGGUUUGAAAUGUCUAAACUGCACUGAAACAGAGGAUGCCAGUUCAAUAAGCUCAGAAUCUGGUGGCAAUACUAAUUUAACUGCAGCUUUUAACAAUACUGAUGUUUCUGAAAUCCAUCGCCCUUCUGGUAAGUACUUCAAUAAUUUAGUUAUUAAAUGAACAGGGUUAUUACUAGA
Molecule: long non-coding RNA, 381 nt
Organism: Physella acuta
Lineage: Eukaryota; Metazoa; Mollusca; Gastropoda; Physidae
Source: RefSeq, a predicted model, not a curated record